RNAcentral lists this ribosomal RNA (413 nucleotides) under Actinomadura syzygii. Its description in RNAcentral is "bacterial SSU rRNA". It matches the Rfam family "Bacterial small subunit ribosomal RNA", at positions 46 to 475 of the family's 1533-position model. The record is from RNAcentral. Lineage: Bacteria; Bacillati; Actinomycetota; Actinomycetes; Streptosporangiales; Thermomonosporaceae.
GCUUAACACAUGCAAGUCGAGCGGAAAGGCCCCUUCGGGGGUACUCGAGCGGCGAACGGGUGAGUAACACGUGAGCAACCUGCCCCUGACUUCGGGAUAAGCCUGGGAAACUGGGUCUAAUACCGGAUACGACCACCGUGGGCAUCUGUGGUGGUGGAAAGUUUUUCGGUUGGGGAUGGGCUCGCGGCCUAUCAGCUUGUUGGUGGGGUGAUGGCCUACCAAGGCUUCGACGGGUAACCGGCCUGAGAGGGCGACCGGUCACACUGGGACUGAGACACGGCCCAGACUCCUACGGGAGGCAGCAGUGGGGAAUAUUGCGCAAUGGGCGGAAGCCUGACGCAGCGACGCCGCGUGGGGGAUGACGGCCUUCGGGUUGUAAACCUCUUUCAGCAGGGACGAAGCUAACGUGACGG